RNAcentral lists this ribosomal RNA (494 nucleotides) under uncultured bacterium. Its description in RNAcentral is "partial 16S ribosomal RNA". It matches the Rfam family "Bacterial small subunit ribosomal RNA", at positions 28 to 507 of the family's 1533-position model. The record is from RNAcentral.
GACGAACGCUGGCGGCGUGCUUAACACAUGCAAGUCGAACGGAAAGGCCUGCUUUCCCUUGUGGAUUGCGGGUACUCGAGUGGCGAACGGGUGAGUAACACGUGAGUGAUCUGCCCCCAACUUGGGUAUAAGCCUGGGAAACUGGGUCUAAUUCCCGAUAGGACUGCAGGGUGGUGCCUGUGGUGGAAAACGAUUUUCUAGUGGUUGGGGAUGAGCUCGCGGCCUAUCAGCUUGUUGGUGGGGUAAUGGCCUACCAAGGCGGCGACGGGUAGCCGGCCUGGGAGGGUGGACGGCCACAUUGGGACUGAGAUACGGCCCAGACUCCUACGGGAGGCAGCAGUGGGGAAUAUUGCACGAUGAGCGGAAGCCUGAUGCAGCGACGCCGCGUGGGGGAUGACGGCCUUCGGGUUGUAAACUCCUUUCGACCGCGAGGAAGCCACCUGGUUGGAAGGGUGGUGACGGUAGUGGUAGAAGAAGCACCGGCUAACUACGUG